This 392-nucleotide ribosomal RNA is filed under the name Areopaguristes hummi. RNAcentral describes it as "partial small subunit ribosomal RNA". The record is from RNAcentral. Lineage: Eukaryota; Metazoa; Arthropoda; Malacostraca; Decapoda; Diogenidae.
GAAACCAGNNNNNNGAUACCCUGCUAUACUUAACUAAAAUUUAAUUACACCGGCGUAGUAGUAGAUAUAUUCUUAAAAUUCAAAGAAAUUGGCGGUGCUUUAAUCUUGUCAGAGGAACCUGUUUUAUAAACGAUACACCACGAAAAAUCUUACUUGUUUUAAAUAGUUUGUAUACCGCCAUUAAUAGAUAAUUCUGAGAAGAAAAAUCAUCUUAAUUAGUUAAACUAAAUAUAUUAGGUCAAGGUGCAGCUUAUAAAUAAGAAAAAAUGGGUUACAAUAGUAUUAUACUGGUCGAAUUUAGAGUUUAAUUUAAACUCUUUUGAAGAAGGAUUUGUUUGUAUACUUAAUUUAAAAUGUUAAUUAAAAAUUAGCACUAAAGCAUGUACAUAUCG